This 260-nucleotide unclassified non-coding RNA is filed under the name uncultured fungus. Its description in RNAcentral is "sequence contains ITS1, 5.8S rRNA gene". The stretch from base 212 to 260 matches the Rfam family "5.8S ribosomal RNA", at positions 1 to 49 of the family's 154-position model. The record is from RNAcentral. Lineage: Eukaryota; Fungi.
UUUCCGUAGGUGAACCUGCGGAAGGAUCAUUACAACAAGGUUCCCUGGCCCUCCAAGCUUCGGCGGAAGGGGGCCACAGCCUGACUUUAUACCCACCCUUUGCCUAUGUGUACCCCUAUUGCUUCCCUCGGCGGGUUCGCCCGCCGACAGGAACCAACUAAACCCUUUGCAUUAUACAUUUAACACAUCCGAUACAAAACUAAAUUAUUACAACUUUUAACAAUGGAUCUCUUGGUGCUGGCAUCGAUGAGGAACGCAGU